RNAcentral lists this ribosomal RNA (275 nucleotides) under uncultured bacterium. RNAcentral describes it as "partial 16S ribosomal RNA". It matches the Rfam family "Bacterial small subunit ribosomal RNA", at positions 338 to 630 of the family's 1533-position model. The record is from RNAcentral.
CCUACGGGUGGCUGCAGUGAGGAAUUUUGCGCAAUGGGGGAAACCCUGACGCAGCGACGCCGCGUGGAGGAUGAAGUAUCUCGGUAUGUAAACUCCUGUCAGUGGGGAUGAUGAUGACAGUACCCACAGAGGAAGCACCGGCUAACUCCGUGCCAGCAGCCGCGGUAAGACGGAGGGUGCAAGCGUUGUUCGGAAUUACUGGGCGUAAAGCGUACGUAGGCGGUGGAUUAAGUCGAAUGUUAAAGCCUGGGGCUCAACCCCAGAGAUGCAUUCGA